This 156-nucleotide unclassified non-coding RNA is filed under the name uncultured Diaporthe. RNAcentral describes it as "sequence contains ITS2". Lineage: Eukaryota; Fungi; Ascomycota; Sordariomycetes; Diaporthales; Diaporthaceae. The record is from RNAcentral.
CAACCCUCAAGCACUGCUUGGUGUUGGGGCACUGCUUCUAACGAAGCAGGCCCUGAAAUCUAGUGGCGAGCUCGCCAGGACCCCGAGCGCAGUAGUUAAACCCUCGCUCUGGAAGGCCCUGGCGGUGCCCUGCCGUUAAACCCCCAACUUCUGAAA